Molecule: non-coding RNA, 4398 nt
Organism: Chrysemys picta bellii (western painted turtle)
Lineage: Eukaryota; Metazoa; Chordata; Testudines; Emydidae
Source: RefSeq, a predicted model, not a curated record
AUUAACAAUGCCUUGCCAAUAAGUCUUUAUAAUAUAAAAUAUUCUUAAAAUGCAGGUGAUGCAAAUAUCAUGGAGGCGAGGAAAGACUUCAAGGUUAAGGAGCAGAUGAUUAGUAGGGGAGCAGCUUGCUAGACUUCCACAUGCAGGAGCGUGCAUGUUUGAUUGCAUUGUUGUGCCUUCCAGGAGUGGCAGCAUGAGAGGACAGGACACAGAAGGAGAUAAGUAGUAAAACUCUCAGAUGUUAGGGUACUGCAGGUGUGUGAGCAAAGAGGGAGAGCGGAGGUUGCAGGCAGCAGCAUGAAAAGGGCGAGGACAACAAUGCAUGAAUUGCACAUGAACAACAACUAAAAAAUCUAUUUUCCCAGCUCUAAUUAUGAGCACUCAUCACUUUAUUUGAAGAAGUGUGUAAGGAUCUUUAACAAAGGCAUUCUCAACUGAAAAUGUUAGUCACCUAAAUAGGUUUUAUCAACAAAUGAAGGAGUUUUAAACAGUCUGAUAAAAAUCCAUUCCCCUCUGAGCUCAACUUUCACUUUGUAAUCUCUUGUGACAUCACCAUUACUAACUCCUCAAUCAUCAGAGUCUUUCAUCUUGAACAGAACCUGCUAAAGUAAAAACAAGCUGAUUUUCUUUUUAAAUAACUUCAGGUCUUUAUACAUCAUAAAGAAGCAAAAGGGGCAAUAGCCUGUGUUUUUCCUUUGCAGGCCAUCUUCAAAUGGAAAGGCUAGGGCACCUAGAGAUGUCUUCUUGCAAUGAAGAAACAUUUUGUCUUGGCUGAACAGAGCGAUGGAUGGGACCGAGUGAUGACAUUCACCAUUGCCCUGCACUUUGUGUGGUCACUCACACCAGCCCAAAGUGGGUGUAAAAAUUCCACAUACAGUGGAGUUGCAUCACGUAAGUUAAAUGUGCGUAUGAAUUCAACUAUACGUGCGCAAUGAGCGUAUGCCCCGGAGUGAGUGUGAGAUGGGAGACGUGAAUCUGCUGUUCCCUCAGUCGGUCUAAGUUUCUGCGUGACUCUCAUAGUGUGAGCAUCUUGCUGUGCUGAGUGUGAUUCUAGUGUUUAAAGAUAUGUAUUUUUCAUACAACAUGGCCCCUAAACACAAGCCAACUACUUCAUCUCAUGCUCAACCAAAGAAACAGCGAUCUGUUCCAACGCUGGAGGAAAAACUGGCUGUGUUGGACUUAUUGAGAGACGGUAUGUCGGUCUCCAACGUGGCGUGUAAAUAUGGCCGCAACAAAUCUAGCAUCUGUGCCAUCAAGAUUCGAGAGAGAGAAAUUCAUCAAGCUGUGGCAUCAAGUGCUCCAAUAACUGCUAAGGUGACGAGCCAGGUGCGUGAUAAGACUUUAGUGAAGACUGAAAAGGCAUUAAACUUACGGCUGGAAGACAUGAACCGUAAACAUGUGCCUAUCGAUGGCAACACGUUGCGAGAAAAGGCUCUUAGCCUCUACGUUCAAACCUCCCGCCGAAGAGGGACAGCCUUCUGAUGAGAAGGAAUUCAAAGCCAGAUGAGGUUGGCUUAACAGUUUUAGGAACCGCUUCAACCUCAAAAACGUGCAGACUACUGAUGAAGCUGCAUCUGCCGAUGGCGGCAGCAAAAGCCUACCCUGAACAAUUAAAGAAAAUCAUACAAGAAAAGGGCUAUCUUCUGGAACAAGCUUUUAAUGCUGACGAGACUGGGCUCUUCUGGAAAAAAAUGCCCAACUGCACUUACAUUUCAAAAUCAGAAAGACAAGCCCCUGGCUUUCAAAGCAGCUAAAGACCGUGUGACUGUGUUGUUUUGUGGCAAUGCGGCUGGGGAUUUAAUAAAGCCGGGCUUGCUCUACAAGCUGCAAAUCCCCGUGCCCUAAAAGGCAAGAACAAAAAAUCUCCUGCCUGUAUUCUGGCAAUCAAAUAGAAAGGCUUGGGUGAUGGCAGUAUUAUUUCUGGAUUGGUUCCACAAGUGUUUCAUUCUGGAGGUCAAGCGGUACCUCGAAGAGAAAGGACUUGACUUUAAAGUGUUGCUUAUCGUAGACAAUGCUCCUGGCCACCCUGAGGCACUCUGGUUUGCGCAUAAUGAUGUUGAGGUCAUCUUUCUCCCCCCCAAUAUCACCUCCAUCCUCCAACCUCUCGACCAAGGCGUGAUUCCCUGUUUCAAGGCCACGUACACGAGGCUUACGUUCUCACCGAUACGUAGCACUAUGGAUGCUGAUCCCAAUCUUAAUGUGAUGGAGUAUUGGAAGUCGUUCAACAUGCCGAUUGCAUCACUUAUAUUAAACAGGCAAUGGAUGCAAUCAAGCCUGAAACAGUCAAUGCAUGUUGGCGAAACCUAUGGAAAGAAUGUGUGAAUGAUUUUAAGGGUUUCCCAACCAUUGACAAAGACGUGAAAUGCAUUGUUCAGGUGGCCAGGCAAGUGGGUGGUGAUGGCUUCGUCGACAUCCUUGAGGAAGAAAUGGAAGAAUGAAUUGAGAGCCAUAGAGAAACAUUGACUAACGAAGAGUUAGAGGAACUGAUAAAAUUGUCUACAGAAGACGAAGAUGACGACGACGAACAGGAAGAGCCAGCAAGUUGGAAUCUUCAUAAAUUUGCUGAAGUGUUCCAAGCAGUGAAACACUUGAAUGAUUUAAUUUCUGAAUACGAUCCCUCUAUAGAACAAAGCCUCAAAAUCACACGUAGUAUUACGGACGAUUUGAGACCGUAUCAAGAAAUGUUUGAGCAGCUCAAGAGACCACAGCAACAGUUGCCGAUCAUAAUGUUUUUCCAGAAUAAACAACCAGCAGCAGAUGAGCCUGGCCCAUCGUCUCCUGGAUCGACAUCAAGACCUGACGACCCCCCAAUAGUGUCAUCAUUGUCAUAGACUAGCAGGAAUAUCCAGGAUGAAUGUGGCCGGAAGGGAUAAAGAGAACUGGAUAAAUAUUAGCUGGCUUGAGCUGAAUCCAGGAAAGAUGAAGGUGACGAGGGGGAUCGGAAGAAGCAUUUUGAGGAUCCCGGAGGAACUAUGAUUUUGCCAACGGUACAGGGUGCUUGCCCUCCAGUUAAGUGAGGCACAACCUCAGAGUCCCUCUGGACUCAACAUUGUUCAGAGACAUCCAGAACGAAAUAGGGGCUAAAUAUGUUUUAUCCAUCUUCAGUUGGCCAAGAGGCUGUGCCUUUUGCUCUCAGAUGUGAAUUUUGCCACAAAGAUCCUGUCUUUUGUUGUUAUCCAAAGACUGAAAAGUGCAAUAUAAAAUCAAAUGUUGUUCUAUGAAAUUCACGGUGGGCCAAGGUAGUCAUUGGCAUAUAUAAGUGCAGCUCCAUUGCUGCAUGCACCAGUGGUAAAUUGGAUCCUGCCCGGCAGGUGAAAUUGUUUCGAAUACAUGUGUUGACAGUCCCUAUGUUUGUUUAUCUGAUGACAGGGUGUUCUGUGUGGAGGGAACUCAACUCUGAAAUUUGCUUCCUCAGGUUGGUGUGACAGAGCAGUUGUGUUAUUUCUUUACUCAGGCUCUUCCUGAGAGUGGGUUGAGUGAGGAGGCUUGAUUUGGGCGGGAGGGAAGAGUUCUUUUAGAUUAUCCUUGAUGUGUUGUCAGUUUAGAUGUAUGUUUUUGGUGUUCACAUUUUUAUUGUCAAUGACAGCAACAUGGGAACUAUAUACAUCAACAAAAACCUAUACUGGAACCAACUGCCCUGUCCUAUCUGUAACCCUGAUGUCUUAACAGAGUAAAUGAUAAAGUGGGAAAAAACAGCCUCCUUCUUAGCAUCUACCUUAAACUGGUGCUUUUCAUUCACUUUUCUCUCUGUGAAAGGAUCUUCUGAUUUACUGAUUACACGACUGGGGAUUACUUUAAGUAUACUCACCAUUGCUUUCUUGUCAAAAGAACAACUGAUGGUCUAAACCAAAUCAUUUUCCUGCCUUUCAACUUUCUCCCUUAAGGAGAUAAUCUCUUUUCCUUCGCACCUGUUUUCAGUCAUAAGCAUUAACAGCCAAUGUUUCAAAAAUAAAAUGGUCAUUGAUGGCCUGUUUUCGGGAGCCCCACUUGAACUGCCUGGACCAGUUCCUCAAAGAUAUUAGACCCCUAACUCCCAUUGAAAUCAGUGGGAGUUAGGCAACUAAAUACCUUUGAGGAGCUGGCCCCCCUGGGCCGCAUUUUCAAAAAGCACUGAGCAUCCACAGCUUCUGAAAAUCAGGUUCCAGAUGUUUUGUGUUAGGCACAUUCAUCACUGGCCAUUCUAAAGAAAAAAAUGGGGGUCUGAAUCUAUUGUCUAGCUCUGAAAUCAGUUUCUCUUCCAAACCAGCAUCAAUUUCUCCUUUUUCAAGUUGUGUAGAAGGUUUAUUGGGAUACCUUCUGAUUUCACAUAGGGAAGACUGCAUCACAGAAGCACUAGCCACCUCUCUGACCCUCUUUAUAAUUAGGGCCCUACCAAAUUCACGGUCCAUUUUGGUCAAU